CGGGACGGGUGAGUAACGCGCGGGUAACCUGCCUCAUACAGGGGGAUAACAGUUAGAAAUGGCUGCUAAUACCGCAUAAGACCACAGUACUGCAUGGUACAGUGGUAAAAACUCCGGUGGUAUGAGAUGGACCCGCGUCUGAUUAGGUAGUUGGUGAGGUAACGGCCUACCAAGCCGACGAUCAGUAGCCGACCUGAGAGGGUGACCGGCCACAUUGGGACUGAGACACGGCCCAG
Molecule: ribosomal RNA, 236 nt
Filed under: uncultured bacterium
Lineage: Bacteria
Description: partial 16S ribosomal RNA
Rfam family: Bacterial small subunit ribosomal RNA
Source: RNAcentral